This is a long non-coding RNA of Corvus hawaiiensis (hawaiian crow), 4659 nucleotides long. RefSeq lists it as uncharacterized. The transcript is spliced from 7 exons. The record is from RefSeq and is a predicted model, not a curated record. NCBI's taxonomy places the organism in Eukaryota, Metazoa, Chordata, Aves, Passeriformes, Corvidae.
ACAGAGCAUCAGUUUUUUCCUUAUCUCCAUGGUGUCCUGAGGACUUCUUAAAAGAAUGAGAUCUGACUAACUUGCCCAAAGUCACAAAAGAAACUGGUGGCAGCACAGAGGAUUGAAUUGAGGAUUUGUUGGCAUGGCAAGGUAAAAAUCCACUUGGGCAAGAUUCAAACAAACAUCCAGGCCAGCAGCUUCAAGUGCUCUCAUUCACAAGCGAUCAGUCAGAAAUCUCUCUGCUGAGUUUGGUGGCACCGACAUCAAAGCUGCCCAGGUUGUUUGUUGACACCUCCACCACAGUGUCAGUUCCAGUGGGCAGCAGAAGGGGAUCUCAUCUCUGAACCAUGAGAGGUGGGAGUCAGCACCAUUAGGAGGUGGGAUUCAGCACUUUCCUUCCAGCAGGUGCCAUCCAACCUUGAUUUCCACCAUCCAGAUCUUCAGGAGAGGCUGAGCCUGCACACCCAUACCAACAUGCUUUUGACGUUUGGAGAUCUACAGGAGUGGGUUGCUACUCUGCCCAGCUUGGCUAUUGUCUACCAUUGCUGUUGCAAGACUGGAAGAGAGAGUCUUUUGGAAGUGCAAUUAUAUUAGACAUGUUGAGCUGGCCACUAGGAUGAGCAAAACAGUUUGGGAGAAGAAAAGUGACUGCAGGGCAGAUGAAGGGGUCUGCAAAUGUCAUGUGCUGUCGUCUUUCCACUGAGUUGCAGCAGAGACCUUAGAGGCUCCAUGUUGAGUCAGCUUCCCCCAUGGUGGCAAAGUCCCUGGAAACGAGGAGAAGGUUGAACCUGGACAUCGCCUCUGCCCUGGAGCUGCAUGAUGCUGGGAGACCCAUUGAUGAUUUGAACUGGUUUCUCUGCACCCAGUCACCUGCUGAACCCUGGGGACCACCGCACACCCCUCAGGAACCAUCAGUUACAUCCCUUCUGGUGUGACGCAGCACUGGCCCUCACACCAGGGAGCUGCGGCCAUGUGGAAGCCACGACUGCUCAGAUGAAGGACUCUGAUAAAUAUUCACCCUCCCACUUCCCUGCUGCAUGGACCAGAUAGCUGCAAGCCAAGGCCAUUACUCAGCGUAUCAUCAGGUGUGUAGCUGUGUCCUAAGCACUCCAAAUUGGCAGGGAGAUGACUGUUGGAAGGAAGCUGAAGCCAAAGGGGCUGUGGAAUCUGGCCAAAUCUGCUGUCGAUUUUAAAGCUGAUUCCGCUGUUCCUCCCGUGGAGCAAAACAACCAUAUUUUUCAUUUUGCAAAGGACAAAGCUCAACAGGGCUUUACUUUUUUUUUUCUUUUUUCUUCUUUUUUGGCUUUUUUUUUAGUUGUGCUUGCUAGGAAUUUAUUGAACGCUGUUACAUUAUUCUUCUUGCUGUCAGGAAACAGGCUGACUGCCCUCCCAAAGUUUGGCUACUGAGAAACUAGGCUGCAUGGGGCUUUUUGGCCACUGGUGAGGCUACUGUCUUAGAUGGUUGCCUAUGAAUGUCCUUCAAACACUUGGCAUUGAAGAGCUUUGGUGUCAGCCUCUGGAAGUUCCCCUAUCAGUGCGAGGUGAGUGGGUAGCACAGCUUUUGGGCCCGAAGAGAGCAAAAGCCUACUACCAUAAAAUCUGUAGCACAGCAUCUGGUUUGGUUUAUACUCUGUGUGCUGCAUUUCAACCUCAGAGAAUGGCCUUGAGCUGUCUGGGAUGUGUGCUGCCUGGGCCAGGGCUGUUGGGGAAGGUGCCCCAUUCCUCAGCAUCUGCAGCUCGUCCCACAGGCUGAGAAAUGCAUAGUCCUCCGGUGGAAAAUUUUUUAAGCUGAACCUUCCUUCCCUAUUCCUUCAGUGGAAAGUAUGGGAAGAAAAAGCCAGCAGUAUUUUCUUGGGAUGGGGAUGAGCAGCAGAAACAGGUUGCGAGAAGAGACAGUAGCACAAACAAGAGCAGCAAAUUGCGUUCUUCUUAUACUCCCUCCUCCUAGUUGUCCAUCAUGGUUUUGAGCCUGAUCCACCCACCUCCAAAUACUACAAAAAUUUGGUGCUUGGCCACCUGCCAGCCAUCCUCUUUCUGUGCUGGAGUGGGUCUCAUUCAGGGGAAAAUUCCCCUGCCCUGGAGAAACCGGAACGAGAAGCAGUUUCCCUGGGUUUGUUCCAUUAUUCAUUGUUAUCCUCCCCUCGGGCCGCCCUGAACAAUUUCCUUCCCCUCCCCUCCAUGUACACCCUUCAAAUGGUUUUAGAAUAUGGCACUGAAAAAUAAAGUUUAAAAAAAAACGCCAAAUACCCAAGGCAUUGAAAACAUUCAAAUAUAUUGCUCAGCUCUUUCCUCCCCGCACCAUUGUCUUAGGAGGGCUGGCACAGGACCAGACUUCUUUCUUAUUACCAAUCUUAACUAUUCCACUGGGCAUCGAAAAAUAAAGCCCUAUAAAAGUCACUAAUUAAAUAAGUUCUCCCAUCUGACCUAAUACAAGCAACAUGGGAGGUUGCAUGAAUUUUUUUUUUUUUUUUAGACUUUUUUUUUCUUUUUCCCUCCUUUUUGUAGAGCCCACUUUUCUGAUGGGGAUUCGUUGUUUUUCUGGUAGGGGAGAGGGAUUUCAAGGUCACAGAAUGAAUAAAUGAUGAUGAUGCGUGGCCACAGGGAGAAGAAAGCACAGCAAGCACGCGACAAGGAUGGCAGCAGCUGAGGUGCUUCCUGCCUGCCCGGUCCCUUCUAGCUGGGACAGGGCUGCAGUUGUCCCUCCCUGUGGCUGCUGAGUGUGUGCUUGGCCUCCCUGCUUUUGUUUGCCAUGGUGGCUGCUUGUUUUUUUAAUUAUCAUUAUUAUUUUCUUCUCUCACGACUCAAGAGUGGAUGAUUAUCUCAUCUGAGUGUCCUCCACCCCAAGGCUCUGUGGGGCUCCUUGUCUCUGGGCCUUGUGGGAUGUGAGCUUGCCCCAAAGCAAGUGAAACAGAAAAUUAACAGUGGUAUUUCCUGUUAUUCUUGGGAAUUUUAGAUGGAUUCGUGAAGAUGGAUACUCGCCACGGUCAGCCAUGGCGGUUCCAGUGCUGUGUGCCCAUGCUCGCUCUUUCUCUCUGCACUUCAGGCAUAAGCCCACAAGUGAGAUGAGUUGGGCAGCUCCAGCUCGCUGCCCACUGUCAGGGCUGUAUGGGGCAGUGCUCUUUCCUUUUCUCCUGACUCACUUGCUAAUGAGCUCUCCUCUUGUGAGAGCAUCCUGAGGUUUUCUAAUAACAGGAAGUGGUGCGCUGCCUGCCCCGGGGUCCAGCCGCAUGCGGGAAGAGGUGUGGCUGCCUCCAAUUUCGAGGAACACCAGUGUCAUGACCUGCCUCAAUCUCAGCGCGCUUUCCCCUUGGUAUCCGCCUUGCUGUCUCCCAGCACUAUUACCCUUUGUUUCACUUACUACCUGAGUAACCCAAGGGAGUGCAACCAGGAUCAGCCCUGCCGAAACAGACAUCCUUGGGGGACAGGGUUGCAGCUGAUGAAAAGUGGCAGGCAGGCAUAGGGAUGCAGAGUCCAGGGAAAUGUACAAAUGUGCAUUUCUGCUGUGGCUGCCCUGGUUCAGGUUGCCAAAGGUCCUGAAGUCUUCAGUGAAAUGGGUGCUGCAGGGUUUGAAGAUCAUCAGAGAAUUUCCCAAAUCUCUUUCCCUUUUUUAGUGCAGGAUCUCUGGCAGUGUAGGGUCUUGUCCUUUAAUGAAGUGAUGGAUGGGAUCUGCCCAGCCAGACAAGCUCUUCAUCUGGAGAGCCAGGCAACACAGAUCCCUGGGGACGCCUCCCAACAGUCCUGAUUUAGCUUAUUCUAGGCCAUGCAGAGAAUUAUUAGCUGCAGGAGUCUGCCUCUCUCCUCUCCUCGUUGAGACUACUUUUCCUGUUUUAGCUUAGCGCUUUGCUUUGCCCCCACACAAGCUAUUUAUUCUAUAGCUUUUACACUAUAAAAUCUAGGAAAAAUAAACAGCAGCUGAGAGGGAGCUGUGGCUAUCAGGGAGGGCAGGGGUGUGUGCAUGGAGCUGGGAGAUGGUGGUGGGAGCUUCCCCUAAUGCUGCCUCAUGGAGUAUGAUCCCUGAGCCAGGGCCAUGGGGAAGCCAUGCGGCAUCUGCCCAGCUUUAUUCCUGUGGCUGUCAUGGUUAAUCACAGCUGCUCGUUUUGAGCCCAAGGUAGCAAAACAAACCAGAUCCACCUCAUGGAGCCAGCAGGCUCAUUGCUUAACCCAUGGAAAGACUUCACAUGAUUUUUCUGUGACCAGUCACUUCAAAUCUUCCGUGAAAUGCCCCCUGGACAUUAAAAUUACACGAAUAUUCCUGUGUACUCAUUUAUUAAUGAGAGGCCCGUGGAAAUGACAAACCCUAAACAAAUGCAGGAGGCUGUUCAUAGAACAAUUAUAUUUGCUUUGCACCAGCUUGCGGCCUGGAAAAAAACAUCCCUGAAUUUGGAUCAUGUCAAUCUAGUCAUGAGACAAAUAUGUUGUGUGACUUGGCUUAAGUGCUGGGGCUCUCCACUGGCUUUCCGAGGGCUGGUGAUCGCUUUUGGGACUCAGCAAGUUCCAAUUCAGUUGACACUUCACACAAGUUGCAUUAUUUUUCUGUGCACCAUCUGUAAUCUCAAAAGGCUUCCUGCCUCAUGAGUCUUGUGCCGAAUAUGUGGUGGAAAAGUACCAAAGAUACCUGCCCAGGCGUCUUAGGAGAUGAUUUCCAGAAACGAAAAGCAAAUAAGCUGC